GCCAUAGCUCAGUGGUGGAGCUCCUGACUAGCAUGCAGAAGAUGCCAGGUUCAAUCCUUGGCAUCUGUCGGUA
Non-coding RNA from Podarcis lilfordi (Lilford's wall lizard), 73 nucleotides. The record is from the annotation of a GenBank genome assembly. NCBI's taxonomy places the organism in Eukaryota, Metazoa, Chordata, Lepidosauria, Squamata, Lacertidae.